RNAcentral lists this ribosomal RNA (889 nucleotides) under uncultured bacterium. Its description in RNAcentral is "bacterial SSU rRNA". It matches the Rfam family "Bacterial small subunit ribosomal RNA", at positions 30 to 903 of the family's 1533-position model. The record is from RNAcentral.
CAGUCGAACGCGUCUUGGUUAUUGAUGUUAAGUGCUUGCAUUUAAUUGAUUUAACAUUGAGACGAGUGGCGAACUGGUGAGUAACACGUGGGUAACCUGCCCUUGAAGUAGGGGAUAACACUUGGAAACAGGUGCUAAUACCGUAUAACAACCAAAACCACCUGGUUUUGGUUUAAAAGAUGGCUUCGGCUAUCACUUUAGGAUGGACCCGCGGCGUAUUAGCUUGUUGGUAAGGUAACGGCCUACCAAGGCAAUGAUACGUAGCCGACCUGAGAGGGUAAUCGGCCACAUUGGGACUGAGACACGGCCCAAACUCCUACGGGAGGCAGCAGUAGGGAAUCUUCCACAAUGGACGAAAGUCUGAUGGAGCAACGCCGCGUGAGUGAUGAAGGGUUUCGGCUCGUAAAACUCUGUUGUUGGAGAAGAACAGGUGUGAGAGUAACUGUUCACAUCUUGACGGUAUCCAACCAGAAAGCCACGGCUAACUACGUGCCAGCAGCCGCGGUAAUACGUAGGUGGCAAGCGUUGUCCGGAUUUAUUGGGCGUAAAGCGAGCGCAGGCGGUUUCUUAGGUCUGAUGUGAAAGCCUUCGGCUUAACCGGAGAAGUGCAUCGGAAACCAGGAGACUUGAGUGCAGAAGAGGACAGUGGAACUCCAUGUGUAGCGGUGAAAUGCGUAGAUAUAUGGAAGAACACCAGUGGCGAAGGCGGCUGUCUGGUCUGUAACUGACGCUGAGGCUCGAAAGCAUGGGUAGCGAACAGGAUUAGAUACCCUGGUAGUCCAUGCCGUANACGAUGAGUGCUAAGUGUUGGAGGGUUUCCGCCCUUCAGUACUGCAGCUAACGCAUUAAGCACUCCGCCUGGGGAGUACGACCGCAAGGUUGAAACUCA